GUAAUCUUGUCGGAAUCUGCGGGGACCAUCCCGUAAGGCUAAAUACUCUCUAUUGACCGAUAGUGAACAAGUACCGUGAGGGAAAGGUGAAAAGAACCCCGGAAGGGGAGUGAAAUAGAACACUGAAACCAUUUGCUUACAAAAAGUUCGAGCCCGUUAAUGGGUGAGAGCGUGCCUUUUGCAGAAUGAACCGGCGAGUUACGGUAUAAUGCAAGGUUAAGCGGUAAACGCGGAGCCGUAGCGAAAGCGAGUCUUAAUAGGGCGAAAUAAGUAUUAUGCUGUAGACCCGAAACCGAGUGAUCUAACCAUGGGCAGGUUGAAGUAAGAGUGAAAUCUUAUGGAGGACCGAACGAGGGAACGCUGUAAAGUUCUUCGAUGACCUGUGGCUAGCGGUGAAAUUCCAAUCGAACUCGGAAAUAGCUGGUUCUCCCCGAAAUAGGUUUACGCCUAGCCUCGUGUGAUCCCUAGUGGAGGUAGAGCACUGAAUGUUAGAUGGCGGCGCAUAGUCGUACUGAUAGCAAUCAAACUCCGAAUGCCAUUAGAUUACAGCACGGGAGUCAGUGUAUGGGUGAUAACGUUCAUACGCGAGAGAAAAAUAAUUCAGAUCAUCAGCUAAGGUCCCAAAAUCUGUGUUAAGUGGAGAAGGAUGUGGAGUUGUAUAAACAGCUAGGAGGUUGGCUCAGAAGCAGCCAUCCUUUAAAGAGUGCGUAAUAGCUCACUAGUCGAGUGGCUCUGCGCCGAAAAUGUACCGGGGCUAAACACAGUACCGAAGCUAUGGGCUUUCUAGUAAUAGGAAGCGGUAGGGGAGCGUUCUAAUUGGGCUGAAGGUAGAUCGUGAGGACUACUGGACUGAUUAGAAGUGAGAAUGCCGGUGUGAGUAACGUAAGGGAAGUGAGAAUCUUCCCCACCGAACGACCAAGGUUUCCAGGGUAAAGUUCGUCUUCCCUGGGUUAGUCAGGAACUAAGGCGAGGCUGAAAAGCGUAGUCGAUGUCCAUCCGGUUUAUAUUCCGGAACUACCUAUAUCACUGAUGGAGUGACGGAGAAAGAUAGCAAGAGCCUGUUAUUGGAUUCAGGUUUAAGCACAUAGGUUUCUAGGUGUAAAUGCGCCAUAGUAUAAGACUGAAGUGUGAUGACGUCGUUUCCUUCGGGAGACUAAGUCUUGUGAUUCUAUGCUUCCAAGAAAAGCUUCUAAAGAUAUGUUAUAGGUACCUGUACCGCAAACCACCACAGGUGGUCGAGGAGAGAAUCCUAAGGUGAGCGAGAGAACUAUGGUUAAGGAACUCGGCAAAAUGACCCCGUAACUUCGGAAUAAGGGGAGGUCCUUUAGGGGACCCGCAGAGAAUUGUCCCAGGCAACUGUUUACCAAAAACAUAGGUUUCUGCAAAAGCGCAAGCUGAAGUAUAGGAGCUGACGCCUGCCCAGUGCUGGAAGGUUAAGAUGAUUUGUUAGUCGGACGAAAGUCGAUAACGGCGAAGCAAUGAGUUGAAGCCCCAGUGAACGGCGGCCGUAACUAUAACGGUCCUAAGGUAGCGAAAUUCCUUGUCAGGUAAGUUCUGACCCGCACGAAA
RNAcentral lists this ribosomal RNA (1569 nucleotides) under gut metagenome. RNAcentral describes it as "bacterial LSU rRNA". It matches the Rfam family "Bacterial large subunit ribosomal RNA", at positions 428 to 1997 of the family's 2925-position model. The record is from RNAcentral.